AGAGUUUGAUCAUGGCUCAGAACGAACGCUGGCGGCGUGCCUAACACAUGCAAGUCGAACGAGAAGUACGUAGCAAUACGUAUUGUAAAGUGGCGCACGGGUGAGUAACACGUGGGUAAUCUGCCCUUGAGUUUGGGAUAACCCCGCGAAAGCGGGGCCAAUACCGAAUAAGACCACGGGGACCAAAGUCCCUGAGGUAAAAGAUGGCCUCUAUUUAUAAGCUAUCACUUGAGGAUGAGCCCGCGGCCCAUUAGCUAGUUGGUAGGGUAACGGCCUACCAAGGCUAUGAUGGGUAGCUGGUCUGAGAGGACGAUCAGCCACACUGGAACUGAGACACGGUCCAGACUCCUACGGGAGGCAGCAGUGGGGAAUAUUGCGCAAUGGGCGAAAGCCUGACGCAGCAACGCCGCGUGGGGGAUGAAGGUUCUCGGAUUGUAAACCCCUUUCGACCGGAACGAAUCCCCUCUUGGUAAAUAAUCAGGAGGAUCGACGGUACCGGGAGAAGAAGCCACGGCUAACUCUGUGCCAGCAGCCGCGGUAAGACAGAGGUGGCUAGCGUUGUUCGGAUUUAUUGGGCGUAAAGCGUACGCAGGCGGUUUGGUAAGUCAGAGGUGAAAGCCCACAGCUUAACUGUGGCACUGCCUUUGAUACUGCCUUUUCUUGAGUAGAAGGGGGAAGCGGAAUUCCGAGUGUAGAGGUGAAAUUCGUAGAUAUUCGGAGGAACACCGGUGGCGAAGGCGGCUUCCUGGACUCUAACUGACGCUCAUGUACGAAAGCGUGGGUAGCAAACAGGAUUAGAUACCCUAGUAGUCC
RNAcentral lists this ribosomal RNA (813 nucleotides) under uncultured bacterium. Its description in RNAcentral is "bacterial SSU rRNA". It matches the Rfam family "Bacterial small subunit ribosomal RNA", at positions 8 to 796 of the family's 1533-position model. The record is from RNAcentral.